This 468-nucleotide ribosomal RNA is filed under the name uncultured bacterium. RNAcentral's name for it is "partial 16S ribosomal RNA". It matches the Rfam family "Bacterial small subunit ribosomal RNA", at positions 28 to 507 of the family's 1533-position model. The record is from RNAcentral.
GACGAACGCUGGCGGCGUGCUUAACACAUGCAAGUCGAACGGAAAGGCCCUGCUUUUGUGGGGUGCUCGAGUGGCGAACGGGUGAGUAACACGUGAGUAACCUGCCCCUGACUUUGGGAUAACUUCAGGAAACUGGGGCUAAUACCGGAUAGGAGCUCCUGCUGCAUGGGGGGGGUUGGAAAGUUUCGGCGGUUGGGGAUGGACUCGCGGCUUAUCAGCUUGUUGGUGGGGUAGUGGCUUACCAAGGCUUUGACGGGUAGCCGGCCUGAGAGGGUGACCGGCCACAUUGGGACUGAGAUACGGCCCAGACUCCUACGGGAGGCAGCAGUGGGGAAUAUUGCACAAUGGGCGGAAGCCUGAUGCAGCAACGCCGCGUGCGGGAUGACGGCCUUCGGGUUGUAAACCGCUUUCGCCUGUGACGAAGCGUGAGUGACGGUAAUGGGUAAAGAAGCACCGGCUAACUACGUG